GACGAACGCUGGCGGCGGGCUUAACACAUGCAAGUCGAACGGACAGGCGCUGCUUUGGUGGGGUGCUCGGUUGGCGAACGGGUGAGGAACUCGUGAGUAACCUGCCCUCGACUUUGGGAUAGCUUCAGGGAACUGGGGCUAAUACCGGAUAGGAGCUCCUGCUGCAUGGUGGGGGUGGGAAAGUUGCGGCGGGUGGGGAUGGACUCGCGGCUUAUCAGCUUUUUGGUGGGGUAGUGGCUUGCCAAGGCUUUGACGCGUAGCCGGCCUGAGGGGGUGACCGGCCCCGCCGGGCCGGGAAUACGGCACAGACUACUACGGGACGCAGCGGUGGAGAAUAUUGUACAAUGGGCGGAAGGCUGAUGUAGCCAAGCCGCGUGCGGGAUGUCGGCAUGCCCGUUGUAAACUACUUCCGCCUGUGAUGAAGAGUGAGUGACGGUACUGGGUAAAGAAGCACCGGCUAACUCCGUG
This 468-nucleotide ribosomal RNA is filed under the name uncultured bacterium. RNAcentral describes it as "partial 16S ribosomal RNA". It matches the Rfam family "Bacterial small subunit ribosomal RNA", at positions 28 to 507 of the family's 1533-position model. The record is from RNAcentral.